UACGAAGGGGGCUAGCGUUGCUCGGAAUCACUGGGCGUAAAGCGCACGUAGGCGGCUUUUAAGUCAGGGGUGAAAUCCUGGAGCUCAACUCCAGAACUGCCUUUGAUACUGAAGAUCUUGAGUUCGGGAGAGGUGAGUGGAACUGCGAGUGUAGAGGUGAAAUUCGUAGAUAUUCGCAAGAACACCAGUGGCGAAGGCGGCUCACUGGCCCGAUACUGACGCUGAGGCACGAAAGCGUGGGAGCAAACAGG
This 251-nucleotide ribosomal RNA is filed under the name uncultured bacterium. Its description in RNAcentral is "partial 16S ribosomal RNA". It matches the Rfam family "Bacterial small subunit ribosomal RNA", at positions 524 to 776 of the family's 1533-position model. The record is from RNAcentral.